UACGAAGGGGGCAAGCGUUGUUCGGAAUUAUUGGGCGUAAAGCGUAUGUAGGUGGUCUUUCAAGUCAGACGUGUAAGCCCUCGGCUCAACCGAGGAAUUGCGUUUGAAACUGAUUGACUUGAGUGUAGGAGAGGAAAGCGGAAUUCCCAGUGUAGCGGUGAAAUGCGUUGAUAUUGGGAAGAACACCGGUGGCGAAGGCGGCUUUCUGGCCUGCUACUGACACUGAGAUACGAAAGCCAGGGGAGCAAAGGGG
This 253-nucleotide ribosomal RNA is filed under the name uncultured bacterium. RNAcentral describes it as "partial 16S ribosomal RNA". It matches the Rfam family "Bacterial small subunit ribosomal RNA", at positions 524 to 776 of the family's 1533-position model. The record is from RNAcentral.